This 497-nucleotide ribosomal RNA is filed under the name uncultured bacterium. RNAcentral describes it as "partial 16S ribosomal RNA". It matches the Rfam family "Bacterial small subunit ribosomal RNA", at positions 28 to 507 of the family's 1533-position model. The record is from RNAcentral.
GAUGAACGCUGGCGGCGUGCCUAAUACAUGCAAGUCGAGCGAACAGACGAGGAGCUUGCUCCUCUGACGUUUGCGGCGGACGGGUGAGAAACACGUGGAUAACCUACCUAUAAGACUGGGAUAACUUCGGGAAACCGGAGCUAAUACCGGAUAAUAUAUUGAACCGCAGUGUUCAAUAGUGAAAGACGGUUUUGCUGUCACUUAUAGAUGGAUCCUCGCCUCAUUGGCUAGUUGGUAAGGUAACGGCUUACCAAGGCGACGAUGCGUAGCCGACCUGAGAGGGUGAUAGGCCACACUGGAACUGGGACACGGUCCAGACUCCUACGGGAGGCAGCAGUAGGGAAUCUUCCGCAAUGGGCGAAAGCCUGACGGAGCAACGCCGCGUGAGUGAUGAAGGUCUUCGGAUCGUAAAACUCUGUUAUUAGGGAAGAACAAAUGUGUAAGUAACUAUGCACGUCUUGACGGUACCUAAUCAGAAAGCCACGGCUAACUACGUG